RNA transcript from Aedes albopictus (Asian tiger mosquito), 13406 nucleotides. RefSeq lists it as uncharacterized. Lineage: Eukaryota; Metazoa; Arthropoda; Insecta; Diptera; Culicidae. The record is from RefSeq and is a predicted model, not a curated record. The transcript has 4 exons.
CGAAUAAAAAAUACAGUAGAAAAACCGAAUGUUGUAUUGUAACAGUACUAUUUAGAACCAUAUUGUUACAAUAAACACCACUGUAAAAAUAAAAAAUACAAAAACAAUAAGAUGUAAUGUUAGACACCAUACAGUGAAUUGUAAAUGAGAUUUUUACAAUAUACUAUACGGGUUGUUAAGUAUCGUAACAAUAUAAAAAAAUAUUUUUCUCCAUAUAUAUUUUUUUACAAAACCAUACAUUUUAUUGUAAAUGAAUUGUUCGAAAUACUGAUACGUGGGCUUUAAUAUACCGUACAUUGUAUGGUACACGUAUGGUUUCAAACAAUAAAAUGUACCGUAAAUAUAUUGUUUUUAAUUGUAAUUUCACUACUGGUUAUAAAUUUAAUCAUGGUUUUGGAAUGGUUCUCUUUUGUUAUGUUGUAUUGUUUUACAUUAGAUAAACCAUAUAAUGUUAUAUUAUCUCGUCAUGUUCCUUCGAUAAUGGCAGUUCUAGCCAAACUAACCUAAACUCGUCUAAGUCUGAGUAGCCUCUGAUUGCAUUAACAGUUGAAGCUUAAGCUCCCAUGUCCCACCAGCCAGAUAACCGGGUUUUGCAAACUAAGCAUUAUUUGUGGCAACACUUUGAGCGGCAUGAUGGAACUAUGCCUAGCGCGCUAAGUGUUAUUAGACCACUAAUGUAGUUGCAUGAAGUGGGUGACGAGGUACAUAAGUAUCAUUACAGCGUGCUUAACCAUUAUUGCAAUAUUGAGGCUCCAAUUUGACUGAACUAUGAAAUGUGUACAUAACAACUCAUGAGAAAACUGUCAAGUUCGAUUCAACUAUAAGUUAAGUUAAGAAGCGAAGACGAACUUAUUUUAGAAGUCGUUUCAGUGUCCAGUCCAGUCCUUAUGUUAUUUAAAAAUGUCAAAGAUAAAUCGCAUUUAAUUCGGUUGUUGUAGGGGUAGGCGGGGCAAUAUGGACACCCUAAGGUUUUUGCCAACUUUACCUGACGAGAUGUCAAAAAAGUUUAGUUUUUUGAUACAUGUAUCCUUUUGAAGUCUAUUUAGCAUCUAUUGCAUAAGAAUGCUCACGAAGAAAAAUGAUUUAUUCACUUCAAAAAAUGUUAUGAAAAAUGUUAGUUUUUCAUGACCGUCUUCAAGCAUACGGGGCAGAAUGGACACCCCCAUGGGGCAAUAUAGACACCAUGAGACUUUUACGUAUUUCGUACAUUAUUUAGACCUAUAAAGUCAUUUCAUUACAAAACAACUAUUAUGGAUGAAUAAUACGCCGAAGUAGUUCAUUUUUCUUCAGUUAAUUUAAAUUCAGGCUGUUUUGGAUAAAGCUUCGUUUUUGUCGGCAUGUACAGCUGUGCCUAGAACAACUAUUUUCUACUGCUGUCGUUUUUUGACCAAUUUGUUUCACCCUAUGUCUACUAUAGUGAACAUUUAACCGAAAAUAUACUGAAAUCGAAGAAUUUGGUUGGUUUGUGAUUUAGGCUAUAUUUUUCCCUUGCCGCUUCUUUCAAAAAGGUGAGUGUCCAUUUUGCCCCGGCAGCAGAAGAUAUUUCCAAACUUGAUUUUUGAUAUAAUAAAGAAGAAAAUAUAAACAUGUUAAGCAUGUAGAUACAGCAACACUACUUGCAUGUGUUCUAGAAAUAUCAGGUUUUAAUCGACCUGUAAUAAAUUAAUCACUAAAUCUUAUUUUAGAUGGUGUGAAAAUUAUAAUUUCCAUGCAAAAAAAAACGGAGGACGCAACUUUUUCGUAUAAAAUCAAGGUUAAUUUUAAUUUCGAUUGUUUCUUUCCUGAAACUACGUUUUAGACAAAUGGACUAUAUUCUCCAUUCAUUAAAAGUUCAAAAAAGUUCGCAUAUUUCAAAAUAUUGAGGGUGUCCAUUCUGCCCCGGGUGUCCAUAAUGCCCCGCCUACCCCUACAAGGCAAUUUCACAUGAGAGAAGAAGAGAAAGAAUAGUGUUGAACUCAUCCACUGAUUUACGGUAAUCUGGCCUGCGUCUUUCCGGGUUGACCUACAUUCGUAUUCCUCUCAUCGCACUCUACAUACCUAGCCCACCAUAUCUCUUGGAUAUGCAGUCCUUAGGACACCUGGUUUACCACUUUAUUUAAACAUUUUAUUGACUUUAAAUAGAUGUUUCAACUUAUUCACUUUUUUCUCUUUCAUUUCCUUUGCAACAAAAAUGUCACGGACAUCAACAAAACAAAGCACGGAAAAAAUCAUAAACUGGAUAAAAAAUUAAAAAUGCACGGAAAAAUAUUGUUUCGGAAUAGUGAAUGGUUCAAACGUAAUAAAAACAGUAUAAUAUAUUGUUACAUAAAGAUCGGAUGUAAAUGUAUAAUAGCUACCAAUGUGCAAAGCUUUUAGCGAACCAUUCCAUUACAAUACACUAUAUUGUAGCUGGUACACUGUAUGGUACAGGAAUGGUUUUCACCAAAUACCCUAUGGUUAGUUUUUAUCCGGGUGCCCUGUGGGUGCAGUUGAGUCCGGGUUGGAGUGGAAAGAGACCCUUCUUCUCGGUUUCGGUUGUACGGGCGGGGUAGUGUUUGUCUUAUUUGUGCCGUGUUGUGUGUGAUUUGCGGCUCGAGCUGCGUGGUUACUUGGAAAGUAGUGCUCUGUAAUCUAGAUUUUGGUUUUAAGGUGAAGCUAAGGCUGGGCUGUGCCUCGGAUUUGUUGGGCGUAGGUCGGGAGAGCUGGUGGCAGUUUGUGCUGGGGGGUUUGCUCGAUUUGUUAUUCACUGAUGGUGGCCAAUCGAUCGACUUAUCGGCGCUGCCUGUCAUUUUGGUUCUUGGGGUUUGUGCUCUCGAGGUUCGGGGCGUUGCUUCGUUGUAUCUUCGCUUUAAUACUAAUAUUCUUUGUUUGAUUAAACUGACUGUUUUUUACAGGUGUUUAACUCAUUCUAUUUCAUAGAUUGCCAAAUUUAAGGGUUAUGGCACUGUUGAUUCCGCUACGUCGACACUCCGUCGAGCCCCCGAUGCCCCAGUUUCGACCACACCCGACGGCCAUCAAAGGGAUUGUUUCGUGCACGAUAGACGUCAGACCCCGUAGGUAGAAACAAUAGGGACACAGAACAAGCAAGUGAAUGUGAUGACAUGCAGAUCACUCUAGAAGCUAAAAUUAAAAUAAUUUGGAUUAAGUGAAUUACUUAUGCUCUAAUGAAAUGAAUUCCAAGUGCUACUUAUUAUCUAACUGUUUAGAUACCAUGCAAGUAAUUUAAACAUCUAAAUGGUGAAACUCGUGAUCUAUAUGCUAGUUGUUUCUUAUUGCAGUUUUUGAAGUAGCUUACUGGAAUUGUACUACACAUGAAUUCGUAGAUAUAUAUAAAAUUACAGAUAAGGGUGAGACAGAUUAUUUGGCAAAAUGCUUUGAUUAUAUCUACAUAUAUUUUUUCUUUAAUAGCAUAAAUUUAAGGAAGUGCAUUCAAAACUAGUAACUAGGAUACAUACACUUAAACACUAAAUUGAACUACGACACUUGUCACAGGGAAGAAUUUAUAAGUUGAAGAAUCAACGCAUCAACUAGAACGGUUGAGCGGUAACGAAUUACUACAAGUAAAACGAAACAUAUUUAUUAUUGUCACCUACUAAAAUUAUGCUUUCUUGUAGGAAUUUUGUAAUUUAUUCUUCGUAUCAUCUCACCAAUAAAUUCACAUAAUUGACUAUUCGUCUAUUACCGCCCAACAUCUUACAAAAUUCUUGUAAGCAUCUUCCAAGAACGCCAAGUAUUAGACGACUGGUGCUAAUCGGUAGCUGGACACCAUGAGCACUACCAGUGGGAAGUCAGGAAACAGAACCGAACGCCAGGCUACUGAGGCAGCUGUAGUCACCGGAAUCGACAGCCUUACUAUCGUGGAUAAAGCGAAAAGCGGAGCGAAGGAUGCUGCGAAUCAGGUAACUGGCGCAGAAUGCGCAGCAGCUCUACAGCCUACAAAAACGGUCCUGAAUCCCAAGGCAGAUGAUGCAGUCGGUGCCGUCGCCGAGGAUCGUACGACGGGAACCAAGCCAAAGCAAGUAACUAAUCCAAGGGCUGCAGUCCCUGUCGACCCUCAACAAUUAUCGACGGCUCCAGCCGGUACGACAUUGUCCAGUAUACGAGUCAGAGUCACUAGAUUUAGCCAUUGCGAAAUGUGCAACGAUCGCGACAAUAGCAGGAUGGUGCAAUGCGAUAAUUGCAGUCUAUGGUAUCACUUUUCGUGCGUUGAUGUGACUAGUGGUAUAGCAGAUUAUAGCUGGGUCUGCCCUGCGUGUGCGGAAGAAAGCAGACAGCUGCACGGGACGUCAGCGCAUUGUGAGAUUCUACAUCAAGAUCCAUCGUCCAAUCAGUUGAGUUCUAAGAGGUCUCUUGGAAAAACGAGCAGCAAGCGAAGUGAGCAGCGAAGAAUCGAUCGUCGGCUACAGAAACUAGAAGAAUUAAAGGAACUGGAAAAAAGGUUUUUAGAAGAAAAAUAUCGCAUUCUGGACGAAGAAGACGACGACGUUGGAACGGUAACAAGCGAUGAUUCUAUGGCCACCAACGAAAUAGUAAAAAUUCAAGGUUGGCUGAGAGAGACGGAUCAAUGUGGUGAGGGCGACUCUGGGCUUGUCGAAGAGGAUGUGCGACCAAAUCCUGCUAUCGGCGGAAAUACGGGCCAUGAAACGCUUCAUGGGUUUGCGCCAAAUCAACGCUCUACGCCACGGAGUCAAAUCAAUCGUCAAGCACCAAGAUCAGAUUCGGCAGCGGCACGUGGUACCAAUAUGCAAUCCCACCGAAUGAUGGAUACUUUCAGUAUAUCCCGGUCCGAGCUGCGGUCUGGAACACGGAUGCAGUCCUACCCGACAAGAACUCUAGGGUGCCCAUCAGCAGCGAAAGUUCAUUUUCAGCAACCUGCGCAGCCAGAGAUAAGAAAUCAACAGCAUAUUAGUUCCGGGUCAGAUCGAAUACAACGACGUGAACGCUACCCAUCGUUAAUCGACGAGCCAGAACAUGACCAACAUCUAGACGAAGAUUCUUUAUGCGUUCUAAAUCGGAGUCAAUUAGCGGCGCGGCAGGUCGUGCCCAAAGAUCUUCCGGAAUUCAGCGGGAAUGCAGAGGAUUGGCCUCUGUUUUAUUCGACGUACAAUUCUUCGACACACAUGUGUGGUUUUUCUAACGAGGAAAACAUGCUUCGUAUUCGAAAAUGCUUAAAAGGCAAAGCCCUCGAAGCCGUACGAUGUCGGCUCCUUCAUCCGACUAACGUUGCCGGUGUGAUGUCUACGUUAAAAAUGCUGUAUGGUAGACCCGAAGCGAUUGUGCACGCGUCGAUUAGGAAGAUCAGAUCACUGCCAGCACCGCAAGUGGAGAAACUUGACACCUUGAUCAACUUUGCGUUGACCAUAGAAAAUUUGGUCGCAACCAUCGAAGCGUGUGGCGUUCAAGAUUUCGUAUACAAUGCAUCGUUGAAGUUUGAACUGAUCGAUCGGCUUCCCCCCGGUUUGAAGUUGGAUUGGGCGAAGCAUUCCAGGAAUAACCCAGCGCCAAACCUUACGGACUUCAGUUCUUGGUUAUAUGCAAUCGCAGAAGACGCCAGCACCGUAAUGCAAACUUCCAGUACCUCAGCCAGAAGCCGAUGGACAAAAAGCGAUGGAUUCAUCAACGUGCAUGCUGACGCUGACUGUACAAAUCUGCGAUCAUUGCAAGCAGACAGGCCAGGAUCGCAAAGUUCAUCGUUAGUAGAACUACCAGAGUGUAUCGUUUGCAAAAACGACUGCCAAUCAGUGGCCAAAUGCAAACGAUUUACUGAACUCACUCUGGACGCUAAAUGGGACGUAGUUAGAGAGGCGAAGCUAUGCAGGAAAUGCUUACGUAGGCAUAACGGAGUGUGUCGUCAGCAAAAACCGUGCGGUACAAGAGGAUGCACCUUUCUACAUCAUCCCUUGUUACACAAUGAGAGAUCGCAUGUUUCAAAUGGACCAUCGGAAACACCUGCCGACGCGUUUGGUAGUUGCAACAUCCACAUGACUCAAACCAAUGAGAUACUGUUCAGAAUUGUACCGGUAUUGAUUCAUGGACCUUCAAAAGUAAUACGAACCUAUGCGUUCAUAGACGACGGGUCAGAGCUGACACUAAUGGAACAAAGUCUCGCAGACGAAAUAGGAGUUUGGGGCCCAAAGUCAUCCCUGUGCCUUAAAUGGACGGGGGGCACGAACCGAGUGGAAGACGAAUCUCGAAAGGUUGCCGUGGAGAUAUCUGCUGUAGGAUUCGACUCUAGGCGACACCAGUUGACAAAUGUGCAGACAAUUCACGACCUACAACUACGCCCGCAAACCAUGGUGCUUUCUGAACUACAAGAACGAUUCAGUUACCUUAGCGGAUUACCAGUGGAGUCUUACAUCAAUGUCUGUCCUCGUAUCCUUAUCGGGCUGGAUAAUGCGUAUCUCGGACAUGUGCUGAAAAGUCGAGAAGGAAAACCACGCGAACCCAUCGCCGUCAAAACGCAACUAGGAUGGAUAAUCUAUGGCAGUUGUAACCAAAAGCGGCGAAGCUCAAAUUACGUCAAUGUACACACCAUAAAAGUUUGUGACUGUAAUCCACAAACCGAUGAAAACCUGCAUCUUGCGAUGAAAACCUAUUUUGACCUUGACAGCCUGGGGAUUUCAACUCCGAACAAGACUCUUCGAUCGCCCGAAGAACAACGUGCCGUAGAACUCCUGGAAAAGCAGACCAUACCUAAAGCAGGACGAUAUGAAGCGGGACUACUUUGGAAGUAUGAAAACGUACGUCUUCCAAACAGCAAAGAUAUGGCAUACAAGCGAUGGCAAUGUCUAGAUAGACGAAUGAAUCAGGACAAGCAACUAUCGGCAACUAUCCAACAAAAAAUGGCAGAUUACGUGUCUAAAGGGUACGUGCGAAAGCUGACGGAACCUGAACUCAACGUUCGUCCAGCUCGCGAGUGGUACUUACCGGUCUUUCCAGUUAUGAAUCCCAACAAGCCGAAUAAGGUUAGGCUGGUAUGGGAUGCAGCAGCCUGUGCAUAUGGAAUAUCACUCAAUUCGUUACUUCUAAAAGGUCCAGAUCUCCUUACGUCUCUCCUUACGGUGCUCAUUCAAUUUCGAGAAUUCCGUAUCGGAAUAUGCGGAGAUAUCCGUGAAAUGUACUUGCAAAUAUUGCUUAGCAAAGAUACUCGAUUGCGCUUCUUCUGGAAAGAGAACGAACAUGAUACAAGUCCACAAGUCUUCGAAAUGCUGGUAUUGCCUUUUGGAGUUUCGUGUGCGCCGACUAUAGCCCAAUAUGUUAAAAACAUCAACGCCAAACAAUUUGAACACGAGCUUCCUACGGUGGUUCGGGCAAUAGUUGAACAACAUUACGUCGAUGACAUGCUUUCGAGUGUCGAAACUGAAGGAGAAGCCAUUGCCUUAGCAAGCAACGUAAAACAAAUCCAUGCAGCAGCCGGAUUCGAAAUGAGGAAUUGGAUUUCGAAUUCUGCAACUCUUCUAGAAGCGCUGGACGAACCGAAAACGGAGGAAAAAGAUCUAACAAUAGCCGAAGAAGGUGUGACUGAGAAAGUGCUUGGAUUAUGGUGGAAUACAAACACGGAUUGCUUCACCUUUAAGGUAUCGCCACGAUAUGAUCCUGAGUUGAUAUCAGGAAUGCGAAUUCCGACCAAACGUGAAGUGUUGAGAACCCUAAUGAUGAUAUUUGAUCCAUUGGGGCUCAUAGGUCACUUCCUUAUGUUCCUUAAAGUGAUUUUGCAAGAGAUCUGGAGAACGUCUGUAACCUGGGACGAUCCUAUUGAGGAAAUUCAAUUUGAAAAGUGGUUGCAGUGGCUGAAAGUGUUGCCUGAGGUAGAAAAGGUGGAAGUUCCUCGGUGCUACAGGUCAACGAUAUCGAUCGAAAGUGCUAUGGAGGUGCAAAUGCAUGUUUUUGUUGAUGCGAGUGAAAAUGGAUUUGCAGCGGUAGUGUACCUCCGAUUUCAGCAAGGCAACUUGACUGAAACUGCGUUGGUGGGAUCUAAAACCAGAGUUGCUCCGUUAAAAUUCUUAUCGAUUCCCCGUUCCGAACUUCAAGCUUGUGUUAUUGGAGCCCGAUUUUCCACCAGUAUACUCAAAUCGCUGACUGUAAAGGUAGACAGACGUUUCUUCUGGACCGACUCUAGCGACGUUAUCAGUUGGAUUAAUAGCGACCAUCGCCGGUAUAGUCAAUUUGUAGCCUACCGGAUCAGCGAGAUACUUGACACUACCGAAAUGCACGAAUGGCAAUGGCUCCGAACCCAAUCCAAUGUAGCCGACGAAGGAACGAAGUGGAAGCGGGUUCCUGACUUGAGGAAUACUAGUCGAUGGUUUACUGGACCUGAUUUUUUGAAGAAACCAAUCAACGAAUGGCCGGUAGAGUUAGCGGCUCCAAAAGCGACCAAUGAGGAACUUCGUCCACAUCUACUCGUCCACGUUGUAGUGCCCGGUCCUGUUAUAGAUCCAGAAAACUUUUCCCAGUGGACACCUCUAGUGCGACGGGUAGCAUUAGUUUUCCGCUUCAUUAGCAACGUAAGAAUUUCUGAUGCUGAGCAGCGAAGCAAAGGAUCACUUACGACUUGCGAACUAGUACGAGCAGAAAGAUAUUUGUACCGUUUUGCACAAUGCUGUGCAUACGCGGAUGAAAUAGCAGUAUUGACAAAUAAGCGCGUAUCAAACGGUAAUGAGAUGUCGGUACCAAAGAGUAGCCCAAUAUAUCAGCUUUGUCCCUUCCUCGAUGAACAUGAUGUCCUCCGUAUGCGAGGCCGAACCGCCGCCUGUCCGUUCGUCGAUCAACAUGCUGUCAACCCAAUCAUUCUUCCAAGGAAUCAUCAAGUCACCCGACUGGUAGUGGGUCAUUAUCAUCGAAUGUAUCACCACCAAAAUCAUAACACUGUCCUCAACGAGCUUCGACAGCGGUACGUCAUAUCACGUUUAAAGGCCACCUUCAACAAGAUCCGUCGUGAUUGCCAGCAGUGCAAGAAUGAUCGCAUACGCCCUCUGGCACCCAUUAUGGGUAAUUUGCCUGUGGCUCGUCUGGCCGCCUACAGCCCUCCAUUUAGCCAUAUGGGUGUCGAUUAUUUUGGGCCUUUAUCAGUCAGUGUUGGGCGCAGGUCUGAAAAGCGGUGGGUCCUCCUAGCAACUUGCCUUACCACGCGGGCUAUCCAUCUUCAAGUUGUGCACUCCAUGACCACCAAUUCCUGUAUUAUGGCUAUAAGAAACGUUAUGGCCAGAAGAGGUACACCUGCUGUUAUUUACAGUGACAGAGGUACGAACUUUCAGGGAGCAUGCUCAGAAUUGGAGACCGCAAUGAAGAACUUAGAUAAUGAGAGACUGGCAAAGGAAUUCACCACUUCGAAUACUACCUGGACGUCCAUCCCUCCCGCAUCUCCACACAUGGGUGGAGCGUGGGAACGCUUGGUCAGAACGGUUAAGCAGAACUUAGACCGGAUCAAACCUAGCGAAAGUAUGCCACACGAAGUCCUGGAAAACAUGCUUAAUGAGGUUGAGAAUAUUAUUAAUUCUCGACCGUUGACGUCGAUCCCUAUCGAUAAUGAUCAAUCUCCAGUCUUGACGCCCAACCAUUUUCUUUUGGGGUCAAGCAAUGGGAUGAGGUCAUGGGUCCCGCUUGAUGAUAGUCCUAGAACACUGAAGAGCAGUUGGCAUUUCUCCCAAAUCUUGGCCAAUCGUUUUUGGAAGCUUUGGCUACAGGAUUACCUGCCAUCAAUCACCCGCCGAACCAAAUGGUUUACAGAAACCAAGCCAAUCAAGGUCAACGAUAUUGUUAUAAUAGUGGAUCCUAAGCUUGCCCGGAACUGCUGGCCUAAGGGGAGGGUAAUAGGUAUCAAGAAGAGUACAGAUGGACAAGUACGGAGCGCUACAGUGCAAACUUCCAGUGGCAUAUACGAACGACCAACAGUUAAGCUCGCCGUGCUUGACGUAGGCGUCGAAGAAAAUGCGCAUCCAGACGACCAGAAGCGCAUUCUGGGGGGCGCUGUUGAUUCCGCUACGUCGACACUCCGUCGAGCCCCCGAUGCCCCAGUUUCGACCACACCCGACGGCCAUCAAAGGGAUUGUUUCGUGCACGAUAGACGUCAGACCCCGUAGGUAGAAACAAUAGGGACACAGAACAAGCAAGUGAAUGUGAUGACAUGCAGAUCACUCUAGAAGCUAAAAUUAAAAUAAUUUGGAUUAAGUGAAUUACUUAUGCUCUAAUGAAAUGAAUUCCAAGUGCUACUUAUUAUCUAACUGUUUAGAUACCAUGCAAGUAAUUUAAACAUCUAAAUGGUGAAACUCGUGAUCUAUAUGCUAGUUGUUUCUUAUUGCAGUUUUUGAAGUAGCUUACUGGAAUUGUACUACACAUGAAUUCGUAGAUAUAUAUAAAAUUACAGAUAAGGGUGAGACAGAUUAUUUGGCAAAAUGCUUUGAUUAUAUCUACAUAUAUUUUUUCUUUAAUAGCAUAAAUUUAAGGAAGUGCAUUCAAAACUAGUAACUAGGAUACAUACACUUAAACACUAAAUUGAACUACGACACUUGUCACAGGGAAGAAUUUAUAAGUUGAAGAAUCAACGCAUCAACUAGAACGGUUGAGCGGUAACGAAUUACUACAAGAAUUUUGUAAUUUAUUCUUCGUAUCAUCUCACCAAUAAAUUCACAUAAUUGACUAUUCGUCUAUUACCGCCCAACAGGCACAGACAAACAGACGUAACACUUGCGAAUUUUCCAUCGACCACGCUUUUAACGAUCAUUUUAAAUUUUCAUAGUUGUGUCUUUCACAACCAGAGGCGCGCGCAUCGUUUUUUCUAUGCGUUUGACGUUUCACACUAGCGCCUUCGAUAUUGCACAACACAGUGAUUCGUGCAACUUUUCCACCAGGUGCUGGUAGUGUGAACUGGGCGACGGAUUUUUAUGAAAAUCGUUCAAGGUGUUACGUCUGUUUGUCUGUGGUAAUGGUUCAAUAGGGUGUUAGCAAUCAGAGUGGAUUAGAACGAGUUGGCGUCUACAAUACACCAACACUAACACACGCACUCCAAUACUUACACGCACACAUGCACCUACAACUAGCUGUAAAAAACCAGUGGGCGGGACAAUGGUGCCUACCCAACAGUUGUAGGUGAGGUGUUUGGCUUAGCUACAUGACGUGGUCCGGCAAGCCCAUAAAUAUCAAUUGGUAGACGUAUUGCCUAGUGAAAAGACAACGCAGAUGGGCGAAAGCCAGGGGAUGCGUUGAUAAUAGCAGAAUAGCAGAAUAGAAAUAUUUUCAGGCUCAGUGAACUCAAUAUUCAUCGAUGCACUCGUCUAUAGUGACUGUACGUUGGAUUGGGAGUGUUUCAAGACAUCUAUAGACGACUGCACCGAUGAACAUAGUCCAUUUUACGAGCCGAUUUUAUGAAUGAAUUUUGACAGGAGGUAGCGUCCAAUAACCCGUGAAAAUCAAUAUCAUCAUCAACAUUGUUGUCACUUCGUAAAAUGGCUCAUUGAGUUCACUGAGCCUGAAUUUUUUUGACAGCACAGCGGGGUCGACUCUCAACAACUUCUACUCAGAUAUGCAUUACCAAAAUGUACUGAUAAUUUUUUUCUUUGAUUUCUUGCAUGACGUUUUAUUUAAAGUGAUGCAUAUGCAUAUAGUUAAUGCACAAGCCCAUAUUUUUGCAACUUUAUCACGAAUACUAGAUGCAAUAAAUUAAACAAAUUUUCAGCUGGGUAGAAGUUGAGUCGACCCCGCUGUGGUGACAAAAUUCGCUGCCCGAGUGAACUUUCAGCGGGCGGUGCACUCAUCUAUUUGUGAAGCGUUUCCAAGCCUCAUGAACGUAGCUGAGGUGCGAUUCAAACUAGCAAAGCGAUUCGGGAACGUUCAAAAAUUACGUCAAACAUUUUGGGGGAGAGGGGAGGGGUCUAAGAAAGUGUGACAGUACGUGUAUUAGGUAUAGCGUGACAGAGGGUGGAUGGAGGGAAGGGGUCUAGAAAUCCCAAAAAACGAUGAACGUUAUAAAUGAAUCUUCCCUUCCGUGAUAUGGAUGAAGAUGUGUUAAAGGUGCGACUGAAAACCUCAGCAUGCCAUGACUUUAGUUUGUAGAUUUGAAUUUUUGAAUAAAAUUAUUAGUUGUUAUUUGACCGUCUAGCAAUCAAGUUGUUUUAUUGCAUUCGGUCCGACCUACUAUAACUUAGGGGUUCGCAUGCAACUUACCUUAACCUCAGGGGCUGCCUACUCUGCCGUUCGAGGGAAUCUUAGGGUGGGCCCGCGCCGUCGCUCCGCUUACAGCGUCGUCACAACCGAUGGUGGAGAUGAGGGGGGGCGUCGAGGCCGAUUUGUAGAGCUAGAGGGUCGUCUUGGCACACGCGGCGGAGAGCUUCUCUGGCGUCCGCUCUUCGACACACUCACUGACGGUCAGCACUCGGACACUCGCGACGGAGGGCGUUGAUAGAUCUCGGUCGAGGUCUUUACACACGCGUGGGACUUCCCGUAAUUUCGGAUUUCGUUCUUAAAUCCACUUUUCGCACUAGGGUGGCCCGUUAUAGUCUGGAUCCGACACUAAUUGGCACUAAUUGGGUGCUUCUGACCGGAAUUAUGCGAUUAACCUUUCCGACACUUGUCUGACCGCGCACUUCAAGAACCGGGCACCUUAUUUAAUUCGCCACCGCACUUUUGCACGCGUUGUGUGCCUAACAGUAGUAUCACUACUCCACUUGCUCGAAUCAAGACCGUCUCGAUUGCUGGUUCAAAACUGAAUCCCCCAGCCUCGGAGCUAUUUCUCCACGAACCCCAUCGUUGGGGCUUUCUCUCGCCUCUCUCGCAGUUGAGGAAUUUCCUGCUCACCACGCAUGCCAACUGCAUUCAUCGUGGUAGCGGGUAUACAGUAUGCGGCAGGAAAAAAUGCGAAAGUGUUUUUCAACUUCAAACCUCAUUUUCGUCCAUUUGACAUUAACCAAUCUAUGUUUCAACGUUCCAUGAUCUAUAAUGGGCUAGUUUUCUGAAAAGUUAAUUAAAAAAUUUCCCAUUUUUGUCACUAACCUUUACAGGGCGGCGCCUGAAGAUGAAGACAACCAGAAUUUUCAAACCGCAGAAAAUCGCACAGGUCGCUAAAUUUCGCAUCUGAUAAAACAAAAAUUUUGAUUUUCUCUACAAUAUCAUCAAAUAUAUAUACUUAUUUCAUCUGGUAUGUGAAACUACAUUGCUCUGGAUCAGUGUGGUCUGGUUGUUCAUCGAAUUUGAGCUAAUUUUGUUACUGUUAUAGUCAUUUUGUUUAAUGACCAUUGGGCGCGCAGUUUAUUGAUAUCCGUUUAUUAGGCCUACAUUAUCACAUGUUAAACAUCAAAUGUGUUCAUUUUUAUUUUUCAGUGCUAGAAUAUAGACAUUGACUGAUACACUGUCAUGAAAAAAUAGUCAUAUAUAUCCCAUAUUUAGCGUGUAAUAGUGCCUUGAACUUUUCGCAUUUUUUCCUGCCGCACCCUGUA